CACAUGACAAAGUGCUGUGGAGAGUAGUGCUCGAGCUUGAAGCUAGCCAGCACGGAUGGUCAGCUGAUCUUAUUUUCUUUUUCUCCAGGCCUUGGUCAGGUGAUCCAUGGUGACUGAUCUGCCUACCAAGAAGGUACCUCAGCAGCCAGGUUUCUGUGUUGCAAUGAAGUAUUCUUCUCCCAGCAAGCACAACAGGCAGAAUCCGGCUGAACUUCAGUCACACUUGCACAGCCAAGCUACCGAAAUUCAGACGCUACUGCCAGCAGUGCAGUGAUGCACCUUCCUGUGUUCCAUUUGGACAAAAGUCCCAUAAGAUAUACUGACUUUACAAAAAAAAAAAAAAAAUCUCAGCAAUGAGGUCAACAAUGCAAGCACAUCUUUUCCUGUUAGGCACCAGCUGCUAUCAUUUUUGAGC
RNAcentral lists this long non-coding RNA (415 nucleotides) under Numida meleagris (helmeted guineafowl). RNAcentral describes it as "lncRNA (ENSNMEG00000013115.1)". Lineage: Eukaryota; Metazoa; Chordata; Aves; Galliformes; Numididae. The record is from RNAcentral.